RNAcentral lists this ribosomal RNA (477 nucleotides) under Candidatus Scalindua marina (nom. nud.). Its description in RNAcentral is "bacterial SSU rRNA". It matches the Rfam family "Bacterial small subunit ribosomal RNA", at positions 365 to 832 of the family's 1533-position model. Lineage: Bacteria; Pseudomonadati; Planctomycetota; Candidatus Brocadiia; Candidatus Brocadiales; Candidatus Scalinduaceae. The record is from RNAcentral.
UUCGCAAUGCCCGAAAGGGUGACGAAGCGACGCCGCGUGGGUGAGGAAGGCCUUCGGGUUGUAAAACCCUGUCAGGAGUUAAGAAAUAUAAGUGCGCUAAUAUCGCAUUUAUUUGACGAAGGCUCCAAAGGAAGCCACGGCUAACUCUGUGCCAGCAGCCGCGGUAAUACAGAGGUGGCAAGCGUUGUUCGGAAUUAUUGGGCGUAAAGAGCACGUAGGUGGGUUUGUAAGUCAGAUGUGAAAGCCUUCUGUUCAACGGAAGAAUUGCAUCUGAAACUACAAGUCUUGAGUGUAGGAGGGGAGAAUGGAACUUCUGGUGGAGCGGUGAAAUGCGUAGAUAUCAGAAGGAACGCCGGCGGCGAAAGCGAUUCUCUGGCCUAUUACUGACACUCAGUGUGCGAAAGCUAGGGGAGCAAACGGGAUUAGAUACCCCGGUAGUCCUAGCUGUAAACGAUGGGCACUAAGUAGAGGGGUUUU